Molecule: non-coding RNA, 714 nt
Organism: Alexandromys fortis (reed vole)
Lineage: Eukaryota; Metazoa; Chordata; Mammalia; Rodentia; Cricetidae
Source: the annotation of a RefSeq genome assembly
GGAAAACAGCCCUGGAUUUCCAAAUCCUCCCAGUCAGGGUUCAGCAGUGAACACAGGUCACUCACCAUGGACUUAGGGCUCAUAUUGGUUUUCUCUGCCCUUAUUUUAAAAGGUGUCCAGUGUGAGGUUCAAUUGCUGGAGUCUGGGGGAGGCUUAGUGCAGCCUGGGAAUUCCCUGAAACUCUCCUGUGCAGCCUCUGGAUUCACCUUCAGUAAUUAUUACAUGCACUGGGUCCGCCAGUCUCCAAAGAAGGGACUGGAAUGGGUCGCAGAGAUUAAUAAAAAUGGUGGUAGCACCUGGUAUACCGACGCUGUGAAGGGCCGGUUCACAAUCUCCAGAGACAAUGCCAAGAACACUCUGUACCUGGAAAUGAACAGUCUGAAGUCUGAGGACACAGCCAUGUAUUACUGUGCAAGAAACACAGAACCUCCUGCAAUGCAAAGUAGCCCUCAGACUCAGAAUGAAAGCCAUAGACUAGCUCAGAAGCCCAUCUCCUUCUCACUAGAGCUCCAGCAAAGCAUGGCUGUCUUGGUGCUGUUCCUCUGCCUCUUGACCUGUCCAACCUGUGCAUUGUCCCUGUUCCAGGUGAAGAAGUCAGUACCUGAACUGGUGCAGCCAUCACAGCAGACCAAGACCCUGUCUCUCACCUGCACUGUCUCUGUGUUCUCAUUAACCAGCUGUCAUGAACACUGGUCCACCAGGCUCCAGGAAAGG